AUGCUGAUCGGCCUGCUUCUUGAAUCUGUGUUGGGCACGCAGAAUGUGAUCUCGCAGCCUUGCCGUGUGCACGCCCCAGUCCCACGGCUCACCGUCGAUCAUGGGCAUCGUCUUGUCGUCCCAGAGCGCCAUGGCGCCCAGGUUGGGCUCGAUGCCGUACAGAGCUUUGAAGGGGGAGCAUUUGAUCGAGGAGUGGAACGACGAGUUGUACCAGAAUUCAGCGGUCGGCGGCUAGCGACGCCAUUGCCUGGGCGCGUCGUGCACCACGCAACGCAAGUACAUUUCCAUGCACUGGUUGACGCGUUUGCUCUGGCCAUCCGUCUAGGGGUGGUAUGCUGUGGAGAAGAGCAGCUUGGUGCCCGCACUGGCAAAGAGCUCGCGCCAGAGAGCGCUGGUGAAGACGCGAUCGCGGUCGGAGACGAUGGAGCUUGGAAUGUUGUGCAGCUUGACGACGUGAUCCCAAAAAACCUUGGCCACCUGAGGAGCUUUGAAGGGAUGACGAAGCGGAAUGAAGUGCGCUGA
RNAcentral lists this ribosomal RNA (522 nucleotides) under Triticum aestivum (bread wheat). RNAcentral's name for it is "partial small subunit ribosomal RNA". The record is from RNAcentral. Lineage: Eukaryota; Viridiplantae; Streptophyta; Magnoliopsida; Poales; Poaceae.